AGACCCGAAACCCGGUGAUCUAGCCAUGGGCAGGUUGAAGGUUGGGUAACACUAACUGGAGGACCGAACCGACUAAUGUUGAAAAAUUAGCGGAUGACCUGUGGCUGGGGGUGAAAGGCCAAUCAAACCGGGAGAUAGCUGGUUCUCCCCGAAAGCUAUUUAGGUAGCGCCUCGUGAAUUCAUCUCCGGGGGUAGAGCACUGUUUCGGCUAGGGGGCCAUCCCGGCUUACCAACCCGAUGCAAACUGCGAAUACCGGAGAAUGUUAUCACGGGAGACACACGGCGGGUGCUAACGUCCGUCGUGAAGAGGGAAACAACCCAGACCGCCAGCUAAGGUCCCAAAGUCAUGGUUAAGUGGGAAACGAUGUGGGAAGGCCCAGACAGCCAGGAUGUUGGCUUAGAAGCAGCCAUCAUUUAAAGAAAGCGUAAUAGCUCACUGGUCGAGUCGGCCUGCGCGGAAGAUGUAACGGGGCUAAACCAUGCACCGAAGCUGCGGCAGCGACGCUGAUGCGUUGUUGGGUAGGGGAGCGUUCUGUAAGCCUGCGAAGGUGGCCUGUGAGGGUUGCUGGAGGUAUCAGAAGUGCGAAUGCUGACAUAAGUAACGAUAAAGCGGGUGAAAAGCCCGCUCGCCGGAAGACCAAGGGUUCCUGUCCAACGUUAAUCGGGGCAGGGUGAGUCGACCCCUAAGGCGAGGCCGAAAGGCGUAGUCGAUGGGAAACGGGUUAAUAUUCCCGUACUUGGUGUUACUGCGAAGGGGGGACGGAGAAGGCUAUGUUGGCCGGGCGACGGUUGUCCCGGUUUAAGCGUGUAGGUGUGUGUUCCAGGUAAAUCCGGUUCACUUUAACACUGAGGCGUGACGACGAGGCACUACGGUGCUGAAGCAACAAAUGCCCUGCUUCCAGGAAAAGCCUCUAAGCAUCAGGUAACACGAAAUCGUACCCCAAACCGACACAGGUGGUCAGGUAGAGAAUACCAAGGCGCUUGAGAGAACUCGGGUG
Molecule: ribosomal RNA, 998 nt
Filed under: Salmonella enterica
Lineage: Bacteria; Pseudomonadati; Pseudomonadota; Gammaproteobacteria; Enterobacterales; Enterobacteriaceae
Description: partial 23S ribosomal RNA
Rfam family: Bacterial large subunit ribosomal RNA
Source: RNAcentral